UUUCGCCUACGGGAGGCAGCAGUGGGGAAUCUUCCGCAAUGGGCGCAAGCCUGACGGAGCAACGCCGCGUGAAUGAAGAAGGUCUUAGGAUCGGAAAGUUCUGUUCUUAGGGAAGAAGUCUUUUCUUGUGAAUAAUGGGAGAAGGUGACGGUACCUAUGGAGAAAGCUCCGGCUAACUACGUGCCAGCAGCCGCGGUAGUACGUAGGGAGCGAGCGUUGUCCGGAAUUACUGGGCGUAAAGGGCGCGUAGGCGGGAACUUAAGUUAGAUGUGAAAACUCCGAGCUCAACCUGGACA
This 296-nucleotide ribosomal RNA is filed under the name uncultured bacterium. RNAcentral describes it as "partial 16S ribosomal RNA". It matches the Rfam family "Bacterial small subunit ribosomal RNA", at positions 333 to 620 of the family's 1533-position model. The record is from RNAcentral.